Long non-coding RNA from Panthera uncia (snow leopard), 3414 nucleotides. RefSeq lists it as uncharacterized. The record is from RefSeq and is a predicted model, not a curated record. The transcript has 2 exons. NCBI's taxonomy places the organism in Eukaryota, Metazoa, Chordata, Mammalia, Carnivora, Felidae.
UCAGAAAGAUAUUUCAUCCUUGAAAAUACAGUCUAUACAUUUUUUAAAGUAGUGAUUUGUUACUUUUUGUUUUCAAAGUCGUUUUAGAGCUACAUUAGGAAACUCAUUGAAUAGUUGGAUUACCUACGAACACUCAUGAAUGUAGGCCGUAGGAAGCCGUUGAGAGGCCAGCUGCCUUCAGUUACAGUGUGUGGUUUUUGGAUUUCCUAUACUGACUAAACCUAACUCCUGCUGAGUAGUUAGGUUGCUUAAUUUUUAAUUAAUUUUCUUUGAUUUUUAAUUUUUAAUUUUUAAGUUAUUUUUCGGGGGGUUGCUUAAUUAUAAACUGUUAUAGUUUUACGUAAAACAUAGUUUAGUUUCUCAACAGCCUUUUAAUUUAAAAGACUUUUGUGGGGCGCCUGGCUAAUACAGUCAAUCAUUUUCUUUUACUUUUUUAAAUAUUUUAUUUUUAAGUAAUCUGCACCCAGUGUGGGGCUCGAACUCACAACCCUGAGAUCAAGAGUCACAUGCUCUACCAACUGAGCCAGCCAGGUGCCCCCACAAUCAACCAUUUUCUGUCUUACCUCCGCAACCCCGGUGUAUUCAAACUGUGACAUACCAGAUUUAUAAUCUCUUGAAUGCAGUAACAUCAUAAGAAUGAAAAAGAAUGCAGGUGGUUGAUACAGGAGUAUAUUUGGGGAAAUAAAGUUCAGAGUUGAAGUUCUGUUGGAGAUACUGGAAGUGAAUUCUAAGGACAAAGAGGUAGGUCCAAAGUCAGACUGUCACUUUCUGAUCCUGUGAUGUGGAUAAGUCCUUGACUUGAGUUAGUGCAUCAGUAAAAUGGAAGCAGUGUUACUGUCUUUUCCUUAGAGGAUCAUUUUAAGGAUUAAAUAACGUGUGUAAACUUGCUUCCAAUUCUACAAAAUAGUGCGUAAUUAUAAAGCACUGAAGUAAAUACAAGGGAAGAGGGAGAGUUGAAAAAUAAAUCUUUGAGGAUCUGAAGACUUAAGUGUGUACGUUUUUAAAUGUAGCUUUAGUAUUGAGGUGACAGUGGCCUGGAACGUACGAGGAAAAUCAUGUCAUUGUAACCAGCUGUAAACUGUCUUUUUUGAGGUGAUAAUGAAAUGUUUUUGUUACUGCAGAGCUUUACAGUUGAUAAAGCAUCCUUGCAAAUAUUAUAGUUUCUAAUUAUUCUGAAUAUUGGUCAAGAAGAAAAGUGAUAACAUCAAACUGGUUUGGACUACUGAUUUAACUUCUGUCUUUUGAAUGAAAUUGAAAUAGUUACUCUGUAGCAAGUGAUUUAGUUAUGAAGACAAAGUAAAUAUGCUCUGAAAAUUUGAAAUACAGAGUUAAUUUAAAAUAUUCAGAUAAAAAAUAAAAUAUUCAGAUGAGUUAAUGCUCUUCUGAAAUUUUUUGGAAUAUUUCUAUUCUCUUCUAGAUACAAAGGAAAGGAAAAUGAAAAAAACUGUGGAGAUAUCUCCAAGUAUCAGAGUUUGAUAGAACAGUGUAAACUUGAAUUGGCAAAUGCUGUUUCCAUACAUUGGGAGUUUUUUGAACUGUAUGGAACGUUUGCAAAUGUGAGUUUUUAAAAUGCUCACAAAUAGAAUUUUAAUAGAGUGGGAAAAAUUGAGGAAAUUUAGAUUGUAGCAAGUACAAAUACUUUCUGAUUUGAACAAAAGUACAUAUUUUCUGAAUAAAAAGGGUUGCUUUUUUCUAAUUGAAUUUAGUUAUUCAAAGGCAAAUAUUAAUAGAAGUAAGUUGCGUUAUCUCUAUUUGCAGUAGAAAAAUGUUCCUGGGAAGUAGUAAUGUAGAUCAAAUUUUAAAACUCAAGUCAUUUUUAAAUUAUAUUAGUUGAGUUCGAAGUUUGUAGAAACCUUAGGUGAAUAGUUUUAAAGUAGGAAAUCUUUUGCUAAUAUGAAGAAAUUUUUUGUAUAUUGGGUUUCCCUAACUCUGUAUAUUUGAAAAGGUUUGAUUCUUAUUUUGAGUCACUACGUACCUUUGAAAACCUAAUUUUAGCUGUAGACUCAGCAAAAUGUACGGUCACACUUAUAUACCCCCAAAAUUGAAUUAUAUCAUAUGGGUGGUCAUAGAAAAUGUAUCCAGGGACUCCAGAUUAAGGACUCUUCUUGCAGAGAAUUUCAGAUUGAAAUCUAUGUGAUUUUUUUUUUUUUAAUUCCUAGAUUUUUCUAUUCAGAAAGUCACAAAUUUUGAAUCUUAAGAUCUAAGCGAGUCCUCAUUUUCGUCAUCACAUAGGUCUGCAUCAGUGCACAAACGUUGUAGUUUUUUAAUUUUUACAAUUUUCGCCAAAAAAACCCCUAUAAACUUUUAAGGGUAAAGAUCUCUGUCUCCCUUCUCUUCCGUCAAAAUAUGGUGAAAGCAAGGUCAGAUGUAGGGGCAGAGUAUAUGUAUUUAUUAUUCUAGUUUUUACUCUGAUGUUCUUUUCAUUAUAUUGAUUCAUUUCCUAUAGAACUUCUUGUUAUUUGCUCAGACUUUUUGCUCAUCCUAGUUUUCUUGGAAGGCGAAAGAAAAGGAAUAUUGGAAAACGUAAAUUACACUGGAAAUCAGAAGAUGUGAGUUCUGGGUGCUCUUUUACCAUGAAGUGUGUUGUGUGACUUUGGAUAGUUCCUUCUCUGCUCUAAUGUCCCUAAAACGAGGGUGUGAUGUUCAGGUCCCUUGACAUAGAAACUGAAAUUUCUUUGAUUUACUUUCCAUCAAUUCAGGGAUGAUAGAUUUUUAUAAUCUCACUUUCCAUUGGGUAAAUAAUACAGACUUGAGGCAAAAGUAAGACAGUAGAAGUCCUAUGUAGUUUGUUCAAAACUGCUGGUCACUCAAAGAAGAGAAAAAAUGAGUGGACACAGUGGAGAAAGUUGAAUCUAGUUUGGAACAAAAACGAUAGUUUUGAAGUUUGGGGGAGAGUGGUAUUGGGCACAUGGUUGUCCUUUCUCCAACCUGCUCUCCCACUCAUUUAAAUACUUUUCAUUAUUUAAUUUUGAAAUUACUUACAACCACAACUAUUGGCUUAGAAAAGUGUAUUUAACCAAUAGGAUGCCCUAACUCCCUGACUUUCCAUGUGUUAACAAUUCACUAAUUGAUUCUCUUACAAAAUUCAUGGAUGUUGUAGUUUUGAAAGUGAUUCAGGUGAAGUCUAGAAGCGUGAGCUUUAGCAGCCUCUGAUUCACCUACAGGGUUUGUUACACACGCAUCACUGGGCCAACGCCCGCGGCUCCUGAAUCAGUAGAUCUGCACUGGGGCCCAGCAGUUUGCACUUCUAAAAUGUUUCUAGGUAAUGCUGGUGCUGCCGGUCUGGAGACCACAUAAGAGAUUCACUGGUCUAGGGCAUACAGAAUUGUUAGCCCAAAGAUACAGUUUAUGAGGUGGAUAGCAAUGGAAGUGGUCAGGAUUGUUUUUGAAUUUAUAGUCUGUUGUGAUUAUGUU